UAGUCAUAUGCUUGUCUCAAAUAUUAAGCCAUGCAUGUCUCAGUACAAGCCUAAUUAAGGUGAAACCGCGAAAGGCUCAUUAAAUCAGUUAUGGUUCCUUAGAUCGUACCCACAAUUACUUGGAUAACUGUGGUAAUUCUAGAGCUAAUACAUGCAAACAGAGCUCCGACCGGAGACGGAAGGAGUGCUUUUAUUAGAUCAAAACCAAUCGGUGGCGGGCUUGCUCGUCAUCGUACAACUUGGUGACUCUGAAUAACUUUUCGCUGAUCGCACGGUCUCGCACUGGCGACGCAUCUUUCAAAUGUCUGCCUUAUCAACUGUCGAUGGUAGGUUCUGCGCCUACCAUGGUUGUAACGGGUAACGGGGAAUCAGGGUUCGAUUCCGGAGAGGGAGCCUGAGAAACGGCUACCACAUCCAAGGAAGGCAGCAGGCGCGCAAAUUACCCACUCCCAGCACGGGGAGGUAGUGACGAAAAAUAACGAUACGGGACUCAUCCGAGGCCCCGUAAUCGGAAUGAGAACACUCUAAACCCUUUAACGAGGAUCAAUUG
RNAcentral lists this ribosomal RNA (550 nucleotides) under uncultured eukaryote. Its description in RNAcentral is "SSU rRNA". It matches the Rfam family "Eukaryotic small subunit ribosomal RNA", at positions 21 to 550 of the family's 1831-position model. The record is from RNAcentral.